UUUAGUAUACCUACAUAAUCAACAUUCCCAAGUACCUCAUUGAUCCAAUGAUGCCAUUCCUGAAGGAGGCUAGAUGAAUCAGACAUGAAGUGAAGGGAACUAAAAGGGUACUCUUGUUUUUCUAUGCAUAAAUAGGGAAUGCGAUCGGAAUGGUGAAGGUCAUCCCAACCUCCACAAGUCGCUGCAUAUAGGAACAAGCAUUCCUUAUCGAGCAGAGGAAGAAUUGUACGGUCAUAAGUCUGGACUUGCUCCCAAACGACGUCAGAAAGACCAAAGAGGGGAGCCCUUUCCCAAUCAUUGAGAAACGGGGCCUCCUUAGUGAUUUCCGGGUCGGCGGAAUGCUUAUAAUGACAAAGAGUAAAGUCUGAUAUUUAACCUUAAAAACACCUGAAAAGAAGAAGAAACAAUGUCAGAAGGAGUUAAGAAUCACAAUUAUACAAGAAAAAGUUUCCCGAAAUUUUUUGAAACAACUUUGGACAGCCUAAAAGCAUCCUUCGAAGCCUCUUUUGGACUUAUAAUGACAUAUGUCAUGGCCAAAGGCAAUGAUUUUUGUAAAGCUCGUCGCUAGCUUCGUUUCGAUAUAUUAUGGGCCCCAAAACUCCAAACGGAUCCAAAGUUCCCUCUACUCAUUCCUUUGAGGUCCUGUUGCUCCACAAAUCAACCGCUUGGAACGAGUGCUCCUUCGCCGCGAAAAUUAUAGUCUUCUUUGAUGAAUUCUGAGGGAAAAAACCAAGAUAUGAUCAAGGUGAUGGGGCUCAGAAACAAAGAAAGACUACAAUUGCCUAAAACAUAAAAGAGAAAUAGAGGAAACAAGUCAAGAGAAAUUCAAAAGAAAACAUGCAAGUAAGUAAAUUGAAAAGCGAAGACGAGAAGAAGGAAUGGAGCCCCAAGGGUUCGGGUCCCCCAUAGGGUUCGGCCCUAUAGGGUUCAACCCCUAGGGUUUGGCCCUAUAGGGAGGAAUCCUCUUUGUUACCUCUCGCUCGGAUUGAGGAAUGUCUUCUUGGUGCUCCCUUGAGGAUCUUCAUGGCUCGUAGGAAGAAAGAAAAUCCAAAAUGAAGCAAGAUAAGCAAGGCCACGUGAAUGGCUUAGGAGAUACAUACAUAUGAAUACAAGUAUAGCCCCCAAAGUAUGCUUGCAACGAAAAAGGAAGCAAUCACUCUUUUUCCAUUAAGGGAAG
RNAcentral lists this long non-coding RNA (1177 nucleotides) under Panax ginseng (ginseng). RNAcentral's name for it is "long non-coding RNA (PGIN_LNC016856)". Lineage: Eukaryota; Viridiplantae; Streptophyta; Magnoliopsida; Apiales; Araliaceae. The record is from RNAcentral.